This 274-nucleotide ribosomal RNA is filed under the name uncultured bacterium. Its description in RNAcentral is "partial 16S ribosomal RNA". It matches the Rfam family "Bacterial small subunit ribosomal RNA", at positions 523 to 796 of the family's 1533-position model. The record is from RNAcentral.
AUACGGAGGGUGCAAGCGUUGUUCGGAAUCAUUGGGCGUAAAGCGCGUGUAGGCGGUCAGUUAAGUCUGAUGAGAAAGCCCGGGGCUCAACCCCGGAAGUGCAUUGGAUACUGGUUGACUAGAGGGCGAGAGAGGAAAGUGGAAUUCCUGGUGUAGGGGUGAAAUCCGUAGAUAUCAGGAGGAACAUCAGUUGCGAAGGCGACUUUCUGGCUCGUUUCUGACGCUGAGACGCGAAAGCGUGGGUAGCAAACAGGAUUAGAAACCCGAGUAGUCC